This 76-nucleotide transfer RNA is filed under the name Deltaproteobacteria bacterium GWA2_38_16. RNAcentral's name for it is "tRNA-His". It matches the Rfam family "tRNA". Rfam says of the family: Transfer RNA (tRNA) molecules are approximately 80 nucleotides in length. Their secondary structure includes four short double-helical elements and three loops (D, anti-codon, and T loops). Further hydrogen bonds mediate the characteristic L-shaped molecular structure. tRNAs have two regions of fundamental functional importance: the anti-codon, which is responsible for specific mRNA codon recognition, and the 3' end, to which the tRNAs corresponding amino acid is attached (by aminoacyl-tRNA synthetases). tRNAs cope with the degeneracy of the genetic code in two manners: having more than one tRNA (with a specific anti-codon) for a particular amino acid; and 'wobble' base-pairing, i.e. permitting non-standard base-pairing at the 3rd anti-codon position. RNAcentral also lists the same sequence under 3 other names. The record is from RNAcentral. Lineage: Bacteria; Deltaproteobacteria.
GUGGGUGUAGCUCAGCUGGUUAGAGCAUCGGGUUGUGGUCCCGAGGGUCGCGGGUUCAAAUCCCGUCACCCACCCA